GGUGAACGCUGGCGGUAGGCCUAACACAUGCAAGUCGAACGGCAGCACAGAGGAGCUUGCUCCUUGGGUGGCGAGUGGCGGACGGGUGAGGAAUACAUCGGAAUCUACUCUGUCGUGGGGGAUAACGUAGGGAAACUUACGCUAAUACCGCAUACGACCUACGGGUGAAAGCAGGGGACCUUCGGGCCUUGCGCGAUUGAAUGAGCCGAUGACGGAUUAGCUAGUUGGCGGGGUAAAGGCCCACCAAGGCGACGAUCUGUAGCUGGUCUGCGGGGAUGAUCAGCCACACUGGAACUGAGGCACGGUCCAGACUCCUACGGGAGGCAGCAGUGGGGAAUAUUGGACAAUGGGCGCAAGCCUGAUCCAGCCAUACCGCGUGGGUGAAGAAGGCCUUCGGGUUGUAAAGCCCUUUUGUUGGGAAAGAAAUCCAGCUGGCUAAUACCCGGUUGGGAUGACGGUACCCAAAGAAUAAGCACCGGCUAACUUCGCGCCAGCCGCCGCCGUAA
Molecule: ribosomal RNA, 506 nt
Filed under: uncultured bacterium
Lineage: Bacteria
Description: partial 16S ribosomal RNA
Rfam family: Bacterial small subunit ribosomal RNA
Source: RNAcentral